Molecule: long non-coding RNA, 341 nt
Organism: Oncorhynchus nerka (sockeye salmon)
Lineage: Eukaryota; Metazoa; Chordata; Actinopteri; Salmoniformes; Salmonidae
Exons: 3
Source: RefSeq, a predicted model, not a curated record
AGAAGUGGAGAACACUAGAUACAUGGUCCCCUAUUUCAACAGGGGGCACCACGUACUCUCACUGAUCCAGCCCACUGCCCCUCACAGUAAAACAUCCAGCUCUCUGGCUAUUCAGAAGACGGAGAAACCACUGGCAUGUGGGGAGGAAGUGUCAAUCACCAUCCAGUAUGCUAUCGUAGGGGAGACCGUCCCAAAGCGCUCCGUGGAUGUCAUCUACCUGGCCUUAUCCAGAGGGGCGAUACUUCAGCAUGGACAUAUGAAGGUUACUGUACAGCAGGGGAGUCCUGUAACUGAGGGUGAAGUCACCUUGAAGUUGGCAGUGGUUCCAGAGAUUGCGCCGU